UACGUAGGUGGCAAGCGUUACUCGGAAUUACUAGGCGUAAAGCGCAGGUAGGUGGUUGGAUAAGUCCAUAAUGAAAUCUCCCGGCUUAACUGGGAGCGGUUUAUGGAUACUAUUUAGCUCGGAGUGUGGGAGAGGUGACUAGAAUUCCCGGUGUAGCGGUGAAAUGCGCAGAUAUCGGGAGGAACACCAAUGGCGAAAGCAGGUCACUGGCCCAAUACUGACACUGAGCUGCGAAAGCUAGGGGAGCAAACAGG
RNAcentral lists this ribosomal RNA (254 nucleotides) under uncultured bacterium. Its description in RNAcentral is "partial 16S ribosomal RNA". It matches the Rfam family "Bacterial small subunit ribosomal RNA", at positions 524 to 776 of the family's 1533-position model. The record is from RNAcentral.